UGUUUAAAGAUGCGUUUACAUCGUGUACAUUCGUUUUACAAUAUAUGAGUUUAUAAUAUAGCAGACGGGCCCGCCCCGAGAGGCUUCCCCCGUCUCACGAGUUCACAGGUGUGUGUGGAUGAAAGAGAAGGCGUGCACAUGCCCCCGGGGGGGCCAGCUACAACCGACUCUAUAUUCAUUCAAUAAUGAUCCUUCCGCAGGUUCACCUACGGAAA
Molecule: unclassified non-coding RNA, 215 nt
Filed under: uncultured fungus
Lineage: Eukaryota; Fungi
Description: sequence contains ITS1
Source: RNAcentral